This 467-nucleotide ribosomal RNA is filed under the name uncultured bacterium. RNAcentral's name for it is "partial 16S ribosomal RNA". It matches the Rfam family "Bacterial small subunit ribosomal RNA", at positions 28 to 507 of the family's 1533-position model. The record is from RNAcentral.
GAUGAACGCUGGCGGCGUGCUUAACACAUGCAAGUCGAACGGAAAGGCUCCUGCUUGUAGGGGUACUCGAGUGGCGAACGGGUGAGUAACACGUGGGUGAUCUGCCCUGCACUUCGGGAUAAGCCUGGGAAACUGGGUCUAAUACCGGAUAGGACCACAUUUUGGAUGGUGUGGUGGAAAGUUUUUCGGUGUGGGAUGAGCUCGCGGCCUAUCAGCUUGUUGGUGGGGUAAUGGCCUACCAAGGCGUCGACGGGUAGCCGGCCUGAGAGGGUGUACGGCCACAUUGGGACUGAGAUACGGCCCAGACUCCUACGGGAGGCAGCAGUGGGGAAUAUUGCACAAUGGGCGCAAGCCUGAUGCAGCGACGCCGCGUGGGGGAUGACGGCCUUCGGGUUGUAAACUCCUUUCGCUAGGGACGAAGCGUUUUUGUGACGGUACCUGGAGAAGAAGCACCGGCUAACUACGUG